Molecule: long non-coding RNA, 889 nt
Organism: Folsomia candida
Lineage: Eukaryota; Metazoa; Arthropoda; Collembola; Entomobryomorpha; Isotomidae
Exons: 2
Source: RefSeq, a predicted model, not a curated record
ACGUAAAAUGUGAUAAGUUCCUCUCGUGUGUAUGUAUUUAUGUAAAUCUAAAUCCUACUCAAUCCCAUUUAAGCAAGUGAAAUUUUAUAAAUUUACGUAUUUGUGUACAUAGCUGCACCUGUUAACCUGGAAAUGAAUUACAUCACGUCGCUCGUUUUCUGCACUACUUUUUCUCUACCAGAAUUCGUGAAAUCUGACAUUUCUCGUGGUACUGCAAUCACAAUUACGAACUAUGGUUCAAAAAAUGCCUUCACAAGCCGUGCCCACCCUGGAAUCGUUGCUGAAAUAAGUGACGGCUCUGUCUUUUUUGUCUGGCUGUACAAUUCUGUUGAAACGAUAGCCAACUACGACAAUAAAACCACCAGCGGGAAACAUGUCUGCAUUACGGACAACACCCUGGAAAAGUACGUAACGCUUGAACCCUGCGACGCUACGAAUCGAGGUCAAAUAUGGAACUUUGCAAAACAAAAGAAAAACGGCACCUUUACAAUUAAGAAUUUGCGUUCGAAAAGAUGUCUGAACAAUAACCAGGAUACAAUAAUCGUUGAAAGGAAGGUGUGCAUCCAUGAGGACGAUGGUCCAAACAUUUAUCAAAAAUGGAGAGUCGAACCAUACGUGUAAUAUCAUAAAAUUAGUAAAUGCGUGAUCGUGAUUAGGGAUAUAAUGUAAAUGAUAAAUUGUUUCAAAUUGAAUUGCUCACAAUUAUCAUUUUAAUAAUAAAAAAAACAUGUUGGGACACAUUCACGUGAGAACAAGCUGGUCAAAUGAAUUUAUGUAAACGGAUUUUAUAAAUGGAUUUAUGUACCACCGUUGAACGCACAAAAAUAAUUGUUCCCAAUGUGAAAAUAUUGGCAAAUAAAGAUAAAUACAAAUUGAUGAUAUAAAUAAA